Molecule: unclassified non-coding RNA, 314 nt
Filed under: plant metagenome
Description: partial contains 5.8S ribosomal RNA, internal transcribed spacer 2, and large subunit ribosomal RNA
Rfam family: 5.8S ribosomal RNA (bases 1-105)
Source: RNAcentral
GAAAUGCGAUAAUUAAUGUGAAUUGCAGAAUUCAGUGAAUCAUCGAGUCUUUGAACGCACAUUGCGCCCCCUGGUAUUCCGGGGGGCAUGCCUGUCCGAGCGUCAUUGCUGCCCUCAAGCACGGCUUGUGUGUUGUGCUUCCGUCCCUGGCAACGGGGACGGGCCCAAAAGGCAGUGGCGGCACCAUGUCUGGUCCUCGAGCGUAUGGGGCUUUGUCACCCGCUCCCGUAGGUCCAGCUGGCAGCUAGCCUCGCAACCAAUCUUUUUAACCAGGUUGACCUCGGAUCAGGUAGGGAUACCCGCUGAACUUAAGC